RNAcentral lists this ribosomal RNA (462 nucleotides) under uncultured euryarchaeote. Its description in RNAcentral is "bacterial SSU rRNA". It matches the Rfam family "Archaeal small subunit ribosomal RNA", at positions 441 to 903 of the family's 1478-position model. Lineage: Archaea; Methanobacteriati; Methanobacteriota. The record is from RNAcentral.
GGUGGGUAAGGACGGUGCCAGCCGCCGCGGUAAUACCGGCGCCUCAAGUGGUAGUCGCUUUUAUUGGGCCUAAAACGUCCGUAGCCGGUCUGGUACAUUCGUGGGUAAAUCAACCCGCUCAACGGGUUGAAUUCUGCGAGCACGGCCAGACUUGGGACCGGGAGAGGUGUGGGGUACUCUCAGGGUAGGGGUAAAAUCCUGUCAUCCUGAGAGGACCACCUGUUGCGAAGGCGCCACACUAGAACGGAUCCGACGGUCAGGGACGAAACCUAGGGGCACGAACCGGAUUAGAUAUCCGGGUAGUCCUAGGUGUAAACGCUGUGGACUUGAUGUUGGGGGCGCUCCGAGCGCUCUCAGUGUCAAAGCGAAGGUGAUAAGUCCACUGCCUGGGGAGUACGGUCGCAAGGCUGAAACUUAAAGGAAUUGGCGGGGGAGCACUGCAACCUGAGGAUUGUGCGGUUU